This 242-nucleotide ribosomal RNA is filed under the name uncultured Actinomycetales bacterium. RNAcentral's name for it is "partial 16S ribosomal RNA". It matches the Rfam family "Bacterial small subunit ribosomal RNA", at positions 89 to 334 of the family's 1533-position model. The record is from RNAcentral. Lineage: Bacteria; Bacillati; Actinomycetota; Actinomycetes; Actinomycetales.
ACUCGAGUGGCGAACGGGUGAGUAACACGUGGGUGAUCUGCCCUGCACUUCGGGAUAAGCUUGGGAAACUGGGUCUAAUACCGGAUAGGAGCCAUCUUUAGUGUGGUGGUUGGAAAGUUUUUUCGGUGUAGGAUGAGCUCGCGGCCUAUCAGCUUGUUGGUGGGGUAAUGGCCUACCAAGGCGGCGACGGGUAACCGGCCUGAGAGGGUGUACGGCCACAUUGGGACUGAGAUACGGCCCAG